GGGGGGGGGGGGGGGGGGGGGGAGGGGGUGGAGGGCGGGGGGGGGGGGGGGGGGUGGGGGGGGGGCGCGGGGGGCGAGCGGGGGGGUAGCGCGGGAGGAGCCUGCCCGUGACUUUGGGAUAACUUCAGGGAACUGGGGCUAAUACCGGAUAGGAGCUCCUGCUGCAUGGUGGGGGUUGGAAAGUUUCGGCGGUUGGGGAUGGACUCGCGGCUUAUCAGCUUGUUGGUGGGGUAGUGGCUUACCAAGGCUUUGACGGGUAGCCGGCCUGAGAGGGUGACCGGCCACAUUGGGACUGAGAUACGGCCCAGACUCCUACGGGAGGCAGCAGUGGGGAAUAUUGCACAAUGGGCGGAAGCCUGAUGCAGCAACGCCGCGUGCGGGAUGACGGCCUUCGGGUUGUAAACCGCUUUCGCCUGUGACGAAGCGUGAGUGACGGUAAUGGGUAAAGAAGCACCGGCUAACUACGUG
Molecule: ribosomal RNA, 468 nt
Filed under: uncultured bacterium
Lineage: Bacteria
Description: partial 16S ribosomal RNA
Rfam family: Bacterial small subunit ribosomal RNA (bases 54-468)
Source: RNAcentral